GAUGAACGCUGGCGGCGUGCCUAAUACAUGCAAGUCGAGCGAACGGACGAGAAGCUUGCUUCUCUGAUGUUAGCGGUGGACGGGUGAGUAACACGUGGAUAACCUACCUAUAAGACUGGGAUAACUUCGGGAAACCGGAGCCAAUACCGGAUAAUAUUUUGAACCGCAUGGUUCAAAAGUGAAAGACGGUCUUGCUGUCACUUAUAGAUGGAUCCGCGCUGCAUUAGCUAGUUGGUAAGGUAACGGCUUACCAAGGCAACGAUGCAUAGCCGACCUGAGAGGGUGAUAGGCCACACUGGAACUGAGACACGGUCAAGACUCCUACGGGAGGCAGCAGUAGGGAAUCUUCCGCAAUGGGCGAAAGCCUGACGGAGCAACGCAGCGUGAGUGAUGAAGGUCUUCGGAUCGUAAAACUCUGUUAUUAGGGAAGAACAUAUGUGUAAGUAACUGUGCACAUCUUGACGGUACCUAAUCAGAAAGCCACGGCUAACUACGUG
RNAcentral lists this ribosomal RNA (497 nucleotides) under uncultured bacterium. RNAcentral describes it as "partial 16S ribosomal RNA". It matches the Rfam family "Bacterial small subunit ribosomal RNA", at positions 28 to 507 of the family's 1533-position model. The record is from RNAcentral.